Molecule: long non-coding RNA, 1363 nt
Filed under: Bos indicus x Bos taurus (hybrid cattle)
Lineage: Eukaryota; Metazoa; Chordata; Mammalia; Artiodactyla; Bovidae
Description: lncRNA (ENSBIXG00000022563.1)
Source: RNAcentral
CCUGCACCUCCCGGGGGCACACGCCCUGGAGUCCAGCAGGGCUGGGCUGUGUGAGGGCGGUGUGCUGGUGGAGGGCUGAGCAGAGAAGACCUCAGGAAAUUCUUUUUAUGCUUGUCCUCAGGCACGGCUAAGGAGACAAGCCCACACCAGGCGGGUGAGGUGCCCACAUCCAACCCAGCGCUUGACCACACACCGCACUGGACCUCACCUCUGGGGAAGGUCACAUGGCUCAGGGCCUUGGAGGCGAACCCUCUGCUGCCUCCUGGAACGGGUCCUCUGCCUUUGGGGGCUUAGCUUCCCCCUGGUUCAGACAAUGGCUGUUAACAGCCGGCUGUUAACCAGGACAGAUGGAUGGACGGACUGAUGGCUGGGUUCCUGGAGCAACAUUGGUGGGAAGAUUCUUCUUCUGAAACAAACACUCAGGCUCUCAGAAGGUGGAACGCAAUUGGCCCUAGCUUCAUCCUGGCUGUCACAGAGAAACACAGCAAGAGCAAGUCACCCGUGCGGUCCGUGCCCGGUGCCCACCAGGCCAGCCAGAGCGCAGUCCUCCAAGGUCGGAGCCGUCCGGGCAGGGCAGAGGAGGAGGUGGCAGGGGAGCCAGUCUCCAGGCUCAGGGGAGGGGCCGCAGACAGGCUCCGGGCAGCAUGUGGAGCAGCCGCCCAAGUCUGGUCCUGCAGAAGUGACCUCUCUGAGCAUGGGGCCUGGUGCACAGGUGGGUGGAAACCUGUGAGAAUGGCUGCACCCUGGCUGGCGGGUCCCUGUAGCCCUACCGUGCCUUCUGACCCUUUCACCAGGGGCCUGUGAACCCCACCAGGGCUGGUUGAGGCUCCCCGGGCACCCUCAGACUACCGACUGCAUCAUCCAGAAGGAUGGAGGAGCUGGCCGCACUGGACCUGCAAGGGAAAGAUGCUGGGGGCGCCCACUGAGUGGACGGCUCUGCCCAAGCCCAGAUGGCCUGUCGGCCUUGGAAGGAGGAGGGGCUUUGUAAAGAGGGGACCCCUUGGGCCCGAAGGUGUAAAGUACAGCUUUCAGGGAACACGCGGCUGCCUUGCUGCAGGCCCGCACUCUUUCUACACCCAUACUCCAGCCAGGCCUCUUUCAGCCAAUCUGCCCAAGGUUUGGCCAGAGGAACCAGCCAAACACAUUCCCUCAGGCCCAUCUUAGCCCCAGAGGGCAGACAUGGGCUGGUCGCAGACUGCAAGGGCCGCAGCGAUGGGGACUCAGUCCGCAUGGCGCAUUUCCUAAGGGAGGGAUCUUGGCCUCAAGGGGCACCUAGCCUUGCCCAGCGCUCGAGACCAACUGAUGACCAACCGAGCUUUUUAAAGUAAGUUUUCAUGUAAAUAAUUCAGAUAAGUGAGAAAAG